Fundulus heteroclitus (mummichog) is the source of this 349-nucleotide long non-coding RNA. RefSeq lists it as uncharacterized. The record is from RefSeq and is a predicted model, not a curated record. Lineage: Eukaryota; Metazoa; Chordata; Actinopteri; Cyprinodontiformes; Fundulidae. The transcript has 3 exons.
AACAGGUUCUGACUCCAUUUAGCAGCAGAACAGAACAAAGAGAAGACUCUGGAUCAGGGCUGCCUGAAGUCCAGGAGAUGGAGAACAGAGCAGAACCUCCAGGAUCCAGCAUUCCGUCCAUAGAAAAACCUCCAGACUUCAGUGAAGAACCUGGACCCUCAGACUCAGAACCAGGACCUGGACUGCUGGCAGCCAAUCAGAGCAGCUGUGCUCCAGGUGAGACUGAACAUCUCCAAUCAGAACUUCCUUCUAUCGUCUCUGUUGGACUAAUUCCUCGUCUUUAGUUGGCAUUUGGAAAUCUAAGUGUUUAAAGUCUUUCUGGGAUCGAUUAUUUCCCCUGAAUCUCUGG